Molecule: long non-coding RNA, 4183 nt
Filed under: Microcebus murinus (gray mouse lemur)
Lineage: Eukaryota; Metazoa; Chordata; Mammalia; Primates; Cheirogaleidae
Description: lncRNA (ENSMICG00000048715.1)
Source: RNAcentral
GGGGUCCUAUGGGGCUGACUCAGAGUGAUCAUGUGUGCAUAUUAGUACUUAGGUAGAGGUCUCUCCUCUGAAAGGCUGGUCUCUUAAAGAAAUCAUGCCACUCAUGAUUUACCCAACAUAAAUAAAUAACAACAAUCAAAUAUAUAAGCUAUUAAAAAUACAGGUAACACUUAUCUUUCAUGAAUUGGAGUGGAUGUUUAAACUGUUACAACUACCCCUUGCUUCCUCCACUGUGUGCUUCUUAUUUUUCAGGCUAGGACGACGUGUUGUCCUGUGGUCCACAAGCGCUGGCAUAUUUUUGUUUGGAAUAGCAUCGGCAUUUGCAAGUGAUUAUUACAGCUUUAUGGUUGCACGCUUUUUUCUUGCCAUGAGUUUUCAGAUGCGGCGUGUGGUGGCAACUAUGGCUGCAAAAUUUGCCAUAGGGGCAGUGUUUGGCAUUAUUUAUCUUUAUACAGCUGAGCUGUACCCAACCAUUGUAAGGUCUCUGGCCGUGGGGAGUGGCAGCAUGGUGUGCCGCCUGGCAAGCAUCUUGGCCCCGUUCUUCGUCUACCUCAGCAGCCAGUGGAUCUUCCUACCGCAGGUGUGCCUCAGUUUACAGGCCCUAACGGGGACAGCAGAGAGACGCAGAGGCCAACUGCCUUUUCCAUGUUUACUUAUUGGAAGCCAGUUUAUAAUUUCAUAAUGGGGGUGGGUGUAGCAACACGAUGAACAGCUCGCCUGCCGGUAAGUAGGCGGGUGGUUGCUGCUUUAUUGUCGGUUGAUUGCCUUCCACCCCAGCCCAGCUGUCAGUCCAACCCGCCUGUCAGGAAAGAGCCUGUCCUCACCCUUGUCAAGAAUCCAUGACCCCAGGAAGGCAGAGCUCUGGUCUCUGUCCCUCUUGGAGCCUCUGCGCCCACUCUCUGUGUUCCCACUGUGUGCCUGCCAGGCCAGGAGGAUUCUGGAAGCUCCUGUUCCCCUGAAGGGUCUGUGGUGCCUGAUCUGUGGUUCUCAGCACACCUGAGCCUGAGGGGCCACCCGUGGGCGGGGCUUCCCUUCUGGGGCCUCUGGCUCAGCAGUGUGGGCCGCUGGCCUGGUGCUGAAGAGUGAGAGCAGUUGUGCUCAGGUGACAGAGUGCCGCCUGCAGGGGCUGAGAGGCUGGGAAGGCAGGCAGAGCACUGAUACACCUGGCUUUAACGUGACCCUCUGCUCAGGAGGAGGAUGGGCCAGGCGGGCCCUGGGGAGGGGAGGCAUGGUGGUGCAUAGCACUGCCAUCCCAGCAGGGACCUGGGGGCCCACCCUCCUCCCCCAAGCUUCCCCUGAGUUUCUUUGCUAUUGCUGCCUCUGGGUCUCUUUCAGUGCUUCCUCUUCCUUUUCUGGUUGCCCUUUAAAUAGACUCAUUCUCCAAGAUUCCCUCCUGGCUGUCCUCCCCUCUCUCUGCUUGUGUGACCUGUCCUGAGUUCCCACCUCUUCUCCCAGCUGCAGCCCCUGCUUCUGCUAGCCUUGUGGAUAUUCUCCCUAGAUGUGUUACAACAAACUUGACAUUUCCCCAGGAGGACUGGUCGGUGACUUCACUGUCUCCCACUGUUGGUUACCGAUAAGUCAAUGGCCUAAAGCGUGACACUGCAGCACCAACUUUUUAUUCACACUGUUCUUUCCUGCUCUUCUCCCAAUCUGCUAGUCAUCAAAUCCUCACAUUUUCCCUCAAAACUACCCCUGCUUGCCUGCUUCCAGUGCCCAGUUCAAUUCCUCGUCACUUCCCAGGUCUUCUCUUUGUACCCCAUCCCCCCACCCCAUCAGAAGAGCAUAGAAGGCACCACAGCCAUGGCCCAGGACCCCUGUCACCUUAAGAAUAAAAUCCAAGCUCAGCUGAUACCCAGUGCCUUUCCAGACCCACUGUCUGUGGAUCUUCCCUGUUGUUCUGUUUCCCCACACAGCUUCCCCUCCUCUCCACACUCACCCGCCAUCCAAGUCCUGCCCGCCUCCUCCCUGUCCUCACCCCUACUCCCUCCCCUUCCAUGCCUCUGCCUAACAGCCUCUCCAAAGAGAAUGAUCCUCCCUGUCACACCCCAACCCCACUGAUCCAUCACGUGUCCUUUAAGUGUCCUUCCAAAUAUCCCCCUUCCCAGGCCACCCAGAUCCAAUGACCCCACUGGUUCACAGCACAAUCUGGCUUUAUCGUGUGCAUGUGUGGCUUUGUCUCCCAGGCUAGACUGUUGAGCUCUUGCAGAGCAGGGCAUUUUGCAUCCCCACAACUGGGUCCAGCAAAGCAUUUUCCUCACUUUGUGUGCCACCCAUGCUGUAAUUUGCUUCGUGUUUUAAAUCAAAUAGAUUGGAUUUUUGAAGUUAGCUUUGUCUUAAACAAUAGUAUCAGUGAAAUCAUGGGUGUUGGGGUAGUUACAUGUUUUUCUAAAAUACACUAACAUAAUCUGACAAGUAAUAAAACAAAGUGUUUGGUACCACCUGGAGCCACUUUGUGCACACAAGUGGUGUGGACGCUGCUCUUUGGGAAUCCUUGGCUUAGCACGAGUGUCUCCCAUGUCCCAGUAGCAGGGCUCAGCAAAGUCUGCUUCACUGGGGUGUUAGGGUCCCAUCCUCUUUCACAGGCUGACUCUGAGGUUGAAAAGUAACAUAGGCUGUCUGGCCUGCAUAGGGAGGUGAUUUGGGAGAUUCUCCCACCCUAUUUAGGGCAUUGGACUUUUCUAGAAGCAUCUUUUUUUGUGCUAGAAUUUUGUGUUCCUUGUUAAAAAAAAGAUAAAAAUGGAAAGCUGUUUUUUAGAACAAUAAGUUAAAACACACAAAAAGAAAAUAUAUAUGUAAAAGCAAACUUCUUUAAAUUGACUAAAACCAAAUGAAAAAAUUUUUUUAAAUAAGUAUCUCUGUAAGGGUCAAUUAAAGACUAUGAAGUUAAAAGGGGUCUUUAUUUUGAUUAACAGAUCCUUAACAGGUCCUGUUAAGUGCUUUACAAAAAUUAGCCUUCAUUUAAUGCAGAUACCAUUGUUACCCCCAUCUUACAGAGGAGGAGACUGCUGUAUGGAAGGUAAUUAUUAGCCCAUGCACACACCUUAAAGGUGACGGAACUGGGGUUCGAACCCAAAUAACAUGCUCCACUACCUUUUACUUAAGGUUAGCAAGCAAACAAACGGUAUAGAGGGAUAUAGAACCAGCUCCUCCUCCACCCUGAUGCUGAAGGUCCCAGGCCCCUUCCUCAAGACAACCCCUGGCAGCAGGGUCUAGUGUAUCUUUUCAGAAAUAUUCUGUGAAGGUGCUUCCUUUGGAUGCAACAGAAGUUGCCUAUUGUUUCUAAUGACUAAAAAAAGAAAUAAAUGAUUAAAUUUCCCAUUAUUCUUGAUUAUGAAUGUCAAACUGCCUGGGAAGCCAGUGUUUUCAUUUUGAAGAAUGGAAACAUUGGUCGAGAAGAUAAGUUUAUAUUUUCUCUUUUGAAAAGAGGCACAUGAAAACCACUCGUUAUGCUGUUAUUAUCAACAGUUAUUUUCUAGUAAUCUAAAAAAGGUGGACAUAAUUCUUUUGUGUGUGUGUUCAUAAACUCAUUUGGCAAAGGUGUAUUGACUGUUGAUGUUGCACUGAGCAGCCUGCGAGGUGCUGGGGAGCAAAGAUGAAGGAAACAGCCUCUGUCUGUCCGGUCUGGCGGGGAAGGCGGGAGAGCAAACCGUCACCAGACCUGGAGCAAAAGGCUGGAGAGAGGAAGUGCUAGGGCUGUGGGGCUCUAGGAGAGGGCUGCCAACCCAGCCCGGUCCCAGGGAGGCAUCUGUGUGUGGAGGGACCAGUAAGGGUCAGCUGGGUGAGGGAGGAGAGAAGGGAAUGUCAGGCAGAGGGAACAGAAAAGCAAAGGCUCAGAGGGGAAAAGGAAGGAGCGUGGCCACUUUGGGUUUGGACACAGGCAUUAUUGCUCACACCGGAGUGGCUUGUGGGGAGUCAGGAGAUACAUCUGGAAAGAGAGGCAAAGAUCUUAAAGGAAGCCAGGACAGAAGAACAUUCAAGCUAAAGGCAGGUUGGAGAGGACAGAAGGGAAAAGUCAUAGUGACAGGACCUGGUGACCAGAUGGCUAUAGUGGAGAGUGGGGAGUCGCUCUGGAAGCUGGAGGGAUCCCAGGAAGGCAAACAAGCCUGUGGUGGGGCAGGGCAGCACACUAAAUAUCAUGUGAGGUGCUUGCAAGAUGGCCGGUGUGGGGGGGGGUGCGUCUGGG